This 800-nucleotide ribosomal RNA is filed under the name Gymnothorax unicolor (brown moray). RNAcentral's name for it is "partial 16S ribosomal RNA". It matches the Rfam family "Bacterial large subunit ribosomal RNA", at positions 1076 to 2426 of the family's 2925-position model. The record is from RNAcentral. Lineage: Eukaryota; Metazoa; Chordata; Actinopteri; Anguilliformes; Muraenidae.
AAGGCACCUCCCCCAGUGGGCCUAAAAGCAGCCACCUGUAAAGACAGCGUUAAAGCCCAAGCAGAAAACACCCGACAAUAAAAAUAAACCAAUCCCAACCCCCUUUAAACACUGAGCCCCUCUAUUUGUAUAUAGAGAAGACAAUGCUAAAAUCAGUAAUAAGAGGGCCACACCCCUCUCCUCGCACGAUCGUGACUCAGACAGGAUUAACCACUGAUAACUAACGGACCCUAGAGAGGGAACAGCAAAAUAAUAAACGCGACCAAGAAAACCCUGCCUCAACCACCGUCACCCCGACACAGGAGUGCUUCCAGGAAAGACUAAAAGGGAGAGAAGGAACUCGGCAAACUAGAACCCCGCCUGUUUACCAAAAACAUCGCCUCUUGCUAACAAUGAAGUAUUAGAGGUCCCGCCUGCCCUGUGACAGCAGUGUUUAACGGCCGCGGUAUCUUAACCGCGCGAAGGUAGCGUAAUCACUUGUCUUUUAAAUGGAGACCUGUAUGAAUGGCAUAACGAGGGUUUAACUGUCUCCUCCCCCCGGUCAAUGAAAUUGAUUUGCCCGUGCAGAAGCGGGCAUAAUAUCAUAAGACGAGAAGACCCUAUGGAGCUUUAGGCAAAUGACCAAGUGCAUCCACCCCCACCCUUAGACAAUUGUGGGGGAAAAAAACACCAAUGAUCAAAAUGCCUUCGGUUGGGGCGACCAUGGAGGAAAAGAGAGCCUCCAAGUGGAACGGGAAAACCCUUUAACUAAGAGUAACUCCUCUAAGUACCAGAAAAUCUGACCAAAAGUGACCCAGGAU